Long non-coding RNA from Sinocyclocheilus rhinocerous, 947 nucleotides. RefSeq lists it as uncharacterized. The record is from RefSeq and is a predicted model, not a curated record. The transcript is spliced from 6 exons. Lineage: Eukaryota; Metazoa; Chordata; Actinopteri; Cypriniformes; Cyprinidae.
UCAGCCACCCUACUUCAGCAAACACCUCACCCUCAGUCAAUGUCUGGUCUCGUUUGAAUAAAGACGCUAACCUGUGUUUCAAGUUUAUGCUCGCUGUGUUUUCCUCAAGUGCCUGUUCUCAGUGUCUCCAAGUCUUCCCAUCGUGAGUACGUAUUUCAUGUGUGAUACUUACCUCAAUACUCACCGGCAUUAACCCGAGGUGUGUGUUCACUCAUCACUCCUAUGUUCACGAUGUCCUCCACACCUGCAAGGAAGGGCUUUGUCAGCAUGUGGAUUUCUGCAGCAGUCCAAUUCCAGUCUUGCAUUAGUUGUAAAUGGAGUCAAGUCUGAAGGAUCUUCCAGCAUUGGUCGAAGAUGCACCAAGGGCUGGGAGAAACUUGGAACGCAAUGCUUUAAGUAUUUCAGCGACUUAAAGCCAUGGGCUGAAGCAGAGAAACAAUGUCUUAACCUCGGAGGAAACCUUGUAUCUGUCCACAGUCAACUCGCUCACAAUUUCCUAAAAACCCUUGUGAAAAAACAUGGUAGUGACAACUCCCGUACCUGGAUUGGUGCUCAUGAUGCAAUUAAGCACUGCCUACCAGUUAAAGAUGAAAGACAUGAAAUUAGACGCAUCAGCACGUGGAAAAGGCCGAGUUUGGUAAUGUUCUUUAGGAUGAUAUCUGGUUUUGGAGUGAUUGAUCAGAAUUUGAGUACAGUUACUGGUGAACCAAAUAAUGGAGGAGGAAAGGAACAUUGUGUGGAAAUGGGUUCUGGAGGUGAGAAACGCUGGAAUGACGCACACUGCGACACUCUUCUCAAUUUCAUCUGUUGCAGAACAACUAGAAAUAACUCCUAAUCCUAACUUUGUUAAACCAAUAUCUCGUUUGUCCAUCACUGAUUUAUAUAGUCUCCAAAUUGCUGAUUGUAACAGACAUGCUUUGAUUUUGAAUUUUAAUGCUGAUCUUUGC